Molecule: long non-coding RNA, 3569 nt
Filed under: Homo sapiens (human)
Lineage: Eukaryota; Metazoa; Chordata; Mammalia; Primates; Hominidae
Description: HSALNT0143932
Source: RNAcentral
AGCAACCAUCAGGCCUCCCAGAUUGUAUCAAGGAAUUGAAACUUAGCAGAUCAUGGCUUUUGGACAAUGAGAUGCCAUACGCCUCAUCAAUCACUAUUUCCUAAUCAUCCACCUGUUUCCUGUUGACCAACUUCUCUUCUUUACCUCUCCCUGCUUCCUAUUUUCCCACACAUAGUUACAUUUUUUCCCUGCUAUAUAAACCCCUAAUUUUAGUAAAUCAGGGAGAUGGUUUGAGACUGAUCUCCCAUUGCCUCACCUGCAACACCUGAUGAAAGCCUUCUUUCCUGGCAAUACUCAUCAUCUCAGUGAUUGGCUUUCUGUGUAGUGAGCAGCAGAACCUAGACUGGACCCCUGGUGUUUUGUAAGAAAGAAUGAGAUAAUACUGCGAUGAAUAUUUUGUGACGUAUUUCCAUAUCCACAUAUAUGACAGCUUCUCUAGGUUGUGUGUCUCAGAAGAGAAAUAAUGUAUCAUAGAUUUUGGAAGAAGCACGAAAAUGAUUUACUGAUUUAGGAACUGGGUGGAGUAGACCACAAAAAGACAAAUCAAAAACAUCUGGAAUGAACUAGUUGAGAGAGAAAAAGAGAGAGCAAGAAAAAAAGCAGGAGCCGGCAAGAGGGAGCCUCAGCCAACACUACAUCAGAGGCACAUUGUGGAUGGAGGAAAUGAGUUUAGUCAAGCCAGCUGUGACUUCAAAGGGGCUGCUCUCCCAGAGAACAGUGAGAAAGGGUUCCCCCUUCAGUGAAGACUGCAAAGUUCAGCCAGCGCCAACCCAAAGGGAAUGGACUCCAGGAAGGGGCAAAUUACAUUCAACAUACAAGAAAGAAUAUUUUCCUUCAUGAAGUGGCUGUGACAGUCUGAAGAGGAAGGAAAAUGACAAAAAAGAAAGGGCCAGUACGUGGAAAAUGCGGAAAUUGGAACUUACUAUAAGUAACUAAUUCAGAAAUCAGGCUGGCAGAAGUGUUAUACAUUCACUGGAAGAAAUUGGUGAAUAUAUGGAAAACAUAAAUGUUAUGUAUCCUGGAACUUAAAAUAAAAAUUAAUAAUAAAAAAUGUUAUCUCUCCCAAGCACUCAUUUGAUGCUUGAAUCCUCUCUAUGACAUCCUUACCAAGGAUUUGUUCUUCUUAUGCUUGGGUACUUCAACUGAUGAGAAUCUCACUAGCUCAGGAUGCAGUUUGCUUUCUUUUAGAUAGCUCUGUUAGAGCUGCCUUCUUCCAGGGCUGAACACUUCCAUAAUUUAAAUUCCAUUUAUUAGUUUUAGUCCUGCCCCUUGGGAACUCGUAGCAAAGAUACUUACAUAUUAAUGUGACAUUUUUCAGGUACUUGAGGUUAGUAAUUAUGUAGCAUAUGACAUAGAUUAAACUCAUAGACUCUGGAAACAAACUACUUGCCUUCCCUUCAAAUUCUUAUUCUGCCACUUACUUACUAUGUGACCUCCAGAGAGUUAUUUACUAUCUCUGUAACUUUAUUUCUUUAUCUAUAUAAAAAGAUAUAAUAAUAGCAGUACAUCAAAGGGCUUUUAUAAGGAGUCCAUGAAUUAAUAUAUGUAGAUGUGCCUGGAACACGGUAAGUGCUCUAAAAGUUUUCACUAUUACUAAUCAUCAUCAUUAUUAUACAGAUCUUGUCAGAUAUCGGACCUAGGCCAUCUUUCUAAGUCUUUACUCAUUCAUUAAGUGAGCUCAUUCACUCCCAUGGCUUCAAUCACCAUCUAUAUGAUUAUGAAAAAUCUAUUUUCCUCCUGAGCCAAGAGCUAAAUGUAAGUGACCAGUUAUGGAUACAGGAAUUGCUCUGGCCACCAUAAUUUGGGUGGAAAUGGUGCAUACCACUUCCAGUUCUUGCCCCUUAAAAUACCAUGAGAAAUCUUGCACUCCUUUCUCCUAGUUCAUCAGCUAACUGAAUGCAGAGAAACCAGUGGAGGACUCCAAGGAAAUUCCAAAGAGUGGUUGAACCACGGGUUGGAAGAAGUCUAGAUCCCUGAGUCAAUGUUUGGAGAGGAGCUGCCGAGGAGAGCCACCAGAGAGGGACACAUGAGCAAGAAAUAAACAUUUCUUCUGUUAAAACAUUGAGAUUUUAUAGCCCAUCAUGACUAAUCCAAUGAGACCCUAGUGUAGAUCUUUUGCUUAGUCUUCGCUUCUGAGAUCUAGAACUAUAUAUUUCAUUUGCUAAUCACCAUUUCUACAUGAACCCUCAAAUAGGGUAAUAGGUAAACUCAGAGUUUCUAAGAUUAGACUGUGUUGAAAUCUUAGUCCUUCCAGGUACAGCUAUAUGACUCAAUGUGUGUGUGGGGGCGGGGGCAGGGGGGUUAAAUAAACUAUUCAUAACUGUAUCUACUUAAAAGUAAUAAGAAAAUGAAAUGAGCAUAUACAUAUAUAUAAAACAGUUAUCGGCACAUAGUAAAUGCUCAGUAAUUGUCAGGUAAUACAGUUAUUAUGACCAUCCCACUCCAAAUUUGCUCUUUCCCCAGGUUUUUUAUGUUGAUAAAUGGUACCACCAUCCAAUAGUUGUUAAAAUUAGAAAUUUGCAACUUUAUCUUGGAUCACUUUUUUUAUCCUCCCACAUGGAUAAAGUCAAUCAAUAACUGAUUGAUUACACUCCUUCAGUAUUUUUCAAAUCCAUUUGCUUAACUCUCUCCUCUUCUAUUCUACACUUUUCAUCCUAGUUAAAGCCACCAGCCUAUGUAACUUUAUUAUAUUUGCGUCCUUACUAGUCUUUUCAAAUCCAUCCUUGCACCCUCCCAAUUCAUGCUUUAUGUGGAAAUGUAGGCAUUUUUUAAAAAAUUCAAAUCAAAUCUUGCUGCUCAAAAUUUUAAAUGCAUCAACACCGAUUGCUCUUUGGUGCCACCACAUUCCUGACCCAUUACUUCAGCACCCCCUCAAACCCACCACAGGACUUUAUUUCUACAAUUCAGCCACACUGGACUUUUGUCGGUGUCAGAAAAGUGCCAUAGAUUGUCCCAUCUUUGAUGUUAUCAUGUGUUGGUUACUUUUGCUUAGAAUAAACUUUCUCCCCAUCCCAGUUUACCUAAUUAAUUCCUGACCACUCUUUACAUUUCUGCUUAAAUGCUAUACUCUCCAGAAAGCCCUCUUAGCAAUCUCUGCCCACACUUCUUAAAGCUAUGCCUACAUAGCCCCCACCUUAUUUCUUCAUUAAACUCUUUGCACUUGCCAUUAUUUGUAUAAUUAUGUUUUCCCAGCUAACCAGGAGACUUUGUGAGGGCAGAGACCUCAUAUGUAUGGCUCACUGCCUGGUAUAGACAGUAUAUUGGCUUAUACGAAGGAGGAGUUUAUUAAAUACAGUAAAUUUUUUUAAGUGUGAAUAUGAGUCUGUUAAAUGACUGUGUGUAUAUGUACCCAAUGUAAAGUUUUAUUUGGUUCGGUCUAGAAAAAUGUCCUACAGCCAAUUCAUGUACCUAAUUAAAUUCACUUACAAAUUUAGGAAACUCAGCACCUGCCCUAUUUGAGUUUAAAACUAGUUGAUUUGAUAGACAUAUAAAAUAAAAACUAUACUAUAGUAUCAUCCAUGCUGUCAUAAUAGAAUUAUCUCAAAACCUCCAUUGAUGUACUAUUUGGG